This is a long non-coding RNA of Pogonomyrmex barbatus (red harvester ant), 477 nucleotides long. The record is from RefSeq and is a predicted model, not a curated record. NCBI's taxonomy places the organism in Eukaryota, Metazoa, Arthropoda, Insecta, Hymenoptera, Formicidae.
UACAGAUCACAAAUUUCAUGCAAAAAUUUGUCAUAUAAUUUUAUAAAUGUUUUUCUGUUCGAAAUCGAUUUCAAGUUAUAUAAAUUAAAUCGCAUUUUGAAAAUGCAUCCGUUGCGACAUUCAAUACGAUUUAAAGAAACUCUUAAAAUCGUAUUUCGAAAGAACAGGUCAAGAGAGAUAAGUUUAAGAGGAUCGGAAUCAGCGCACGAUGACGAUUACGGUGUUUGCGAGAGGGCGCGACAUAAAGGCGACCUUUCCGCGAAUUGUGAAACGCGAAUGACGACGUCGUAGAGCGAGUUAUAAACAUACCACCGUGCUCGGCGACUUUCCGCAACAUUUCCGGCGAAUAUAUAAGCAUACCAUAAACGGAGUAUGAUGACCCAAGGCUAACAGUCUCAAACCCAAACCAUGAAGAUUGCAUCCAGGAGGAGCAUAUUACUUUCUUGGGCUUUGAUGGUAUGCGAAAAAAGGCAGUAU